CGGACGGGUGAGUAACACGUGGAUAACUUACCUAUAAGACUGGGAUAACUUCGGGAAACCGGAGCUAAUACCGGAUAAUAUAUUGAACCGCAUGGUUCAAUAGUGAAAGACGGUUUUGCUGUCACUUAUAGAUGGAUCCGCGCCGCAUUAGCUAGUUGGUAAGGUAACGGCUUACCAAGGCAACGAUGCGUAGCCGACCUGAGAGGGUGAUCGGCCACACUGGAACUGAGACACGGUCCAGACUCCUACGGGAGGCAGCAGUC
RNAcentral lists this ribosomal RNA (263 nucleotides) under uncultured Staphylococcus sp. RNAcentral's name for it is "partial 16S ribosomal RNA". It matches the Rfam family "Bacterial small subunit ribosomal RNA", at positions 99 to 355 of the family's 1533-position model. The record is from RNAcentral. Lineage: Bacteria; Bacillati; Bacillota; Bacilli; Caryophanales; Staphylococcaceae.